This 370-nucleotide ribosomal RNA is filed under the name uncultured alga. RNAcentral's name for it is "partial 23S ribosomal RNA". It matches the Rfam family "Bacterial large subunit ribosomal RNA", at positions 2098 to 2465 of the family's 2925-position model. The record is from RNAcentral.
GCUUGACUGUAGCUUGUAAUUGGGUUCGGGCUUUUUUUUGCGCAGCCUAGGUGGGAGGCAACGAUGAUUUUUUUCCGGAAAAAUUUGAGCCGUUAGUGAGAGACCACUCUGAAAAGGCUAGAAUCCUAAUAAUGAUCCUUGAAUCAGGACAUUUGACAGUUGCAGGUGGGCAGUUUUACUGGGGCGGUAUUCUCCUAAAAAGUAACGGAGGGGUGCAAAGGUUCCCUCAAGCUGGACGGAAAUCAGCUUAAGAGUGUAAAGGCAAAAGGGAGCUUGACUGCAAGACCUACAAGUCGAGCAGGGGCGAAAGCCGGCCUUAGUGAUCCGACGGUACCACGUGGAAGGGCCGUCGCUCAACGGAUAAAAGUUA